RNAcentral lists this unclassified non-coding RNA (565 nucleotides) under uncultured Actinomycetes bacterium. Its description in RNAcentral is "uncultured actinobacterium partial contains 16S ribosomal RNA, 16S-23S ribosomal RNA intergenic spacer, and 23S ribosomal RNA". The stretch from base 434 to 565 matches the Rfam family "Bacterial large subunit ribosomal RNA", at positions 1 to 131 of the family's 2925-position model. Lineage: Bacteria; Bacillati; Actinomycetota; Actinomycetes. The record is from RNAcentral.
UCUAGGGAGUCCCUUGAUGGGACCCUCAUGGCACGGCGUCGUCGCCGGCCUUCUGCCUCUGCACCUCGGUGCCGCGCAGAAGGAAUCGAUGCGAUCGACCUCCGACCAUGGGGCCUAGUACGUCGACCGAACCUGGCCGGGCCAGCCGGCGCCCUCGUGUGAGGACGCCCACCACGCUUUCGCGUGGUGCCGCACAUCGCGGAGCUCGAGCCCGAGCAUGCUGUUGAGUUUUGAGAGACCGCAUCCGCGGAGUCCCCGCGGGCGCACCUCUCGGCGGCCCUUGAAAACUGCACAGCAGCCACAUGCCUGAUCUGAUCCAACGCAGAUCAGGCUAAGUCCUUCCCCUUCAUCUUCGAUGAGCCAGGGGGAAGGGCGGGUAAUUCACCGAGUCAGAACCACUUGCAAUCAGGUUCUGCCUCGUAUUGACGAUCACCGUCAAGAUAGUAAGGGCACACGGUGGAUGCCUUGGCACCUAGAGCCGAUGAAGGACGUGGACGACUGCGAUAAGCCACGGUGAGGCGUUGAACAGCCUUUGACCCGUGGAUUUCCGAAUGGGGAAACCCGG